This 300-nucleotide unclassified non-coding RNA is filed under the name uncultured Agaricomycetes. RNAcentral describes it as "sequence contains 5.8S rRNA gene, ITS2". The stretch from base 1 to 71 matches the Rfam family "5.8S ribosomal RNA", at positions 84 to 154 of the family's 154-position model. Lineage: Eukaryota; Fungi; Basidiomycota; Agaricomycetes. The record is from RNAcentral.
GUGAAUCAUCGAAUCUUUGAACGCAUCUUGCGCUCCUUGGCAUUCCGAGGAGCACACCUGUUUGAGUGUCAUCUAGAAUUCUCAAAUCUCUCUUCUCUCUCUUCUCUCUCUUUCUCCUUGAUUGGAGAUUGAGAGUGGAGAGGAGGGUGGGAUUUGGAUGGAUGGAGGUUUUUUGUGGGCUCUCCCCCGAGUCUGCUCCUCUGAAAUGCAUUAGCAAAAACGGGCCGCGGUGGUUGUGCCGCCACCUGCUUGUGGGUUUGGCAUGAUAAAACUUCCUCUUAUCUUUAAUGCCGUGCCACA